RNAcentral lists this ribosomal RNA (429 nucleotides) under Pseudomonadota bacterium. Its description in RNAcentral is "Proteobacteria bacterium partial 16S ribosomal RNA". It matches the Rfam family "Bacterial small subunit ribosomal RNA", at positions 355 to 776 of the family's 1533-position model. Lineage: Bacteria; Pseudomonadati; Pseudomonadota. The record is from RNAcentral.
UGGGGAAUAUUGGACAAUGGGCGAAAGCCUGAUCCAGCCAUGCCGCGUGUGUGAAGAAGGUCUUCGGAUUGUAAAGCACUUUAAGUUGAGAGGAAGGGCAGUAAGCGAAUACCUUGCUGUUUUGACGUUACCGACAGAAUAAGCACCGGCUAACUCUGUGCCAGCAGCCGCGGUAAUACAGAGGGUGCAAGCGUUAAUCGGAAUUACUGGGCGUAAAGCGCGCGUAGGUGGUUCGUUAAGUUGAAUGUGAAAGCCCCGGGCUCAACCUGGGAACUGCAUCCAAAACUGGCGAGCUAGAGUAGGGCAGAGGGUGGUGGAAUUUCCUGUGUAGCGGUGAAAUGCGUAGAUAUAGGAAGGAACACCAGUGGCGAAGGCGACCACCUGGGCUCAUACUGACACUGAGGUGCGAAAGCGUGGGGAGCAAACAGG